Molecule: ribosomal RNA, 282 nt
Filed under: uncultured bacterium
Lineage: Bacteria
Description: partial 16S ribosomal RNA
Rfam family: Bacterial small subunit ribosomal RNA
Source: RNAcentral
AAGUCGAGGGGUAGAAUGUCUUCGGAUGUUUGAGACCGGCGCACGGGUGCGUAACGCGUAUGCAACCUACCUCUUACUGGGGAAUAGCCCGGAGAAAUUCGGGAUUAAUCGCCCCAUAUGCUCGUACGACCUCAUGGUCGAGCGAGGAAAGCUCCGGCGGUAAGAGAUGGGCAUGCGUCCUAUUAGCUUGUUGGUGAGGUAACGGCUCACCAAGGCUACGAUAGGGUAGGGGCCUGAGGAGGGUCGACCCCCACACUGGUACUGAGACACGGACCAGACUCC